GGGCUUCCUCAAUUGUUUCCAUUAAGGUUAAUCCUACAUUUGUAAGCUGCAGAGGUGGUUAUGCCACUUGGUUUAGCAAGAAAGCAAGUGAUCCUAAUGUCCUUAUUGGUGCUAUUGUUGGUGGCCCUGAUGCCUAUGACAAUUUUGCCGAUGAAAGGGACAAUUAUGAGCAAACAGAGCCUGCUACCUACAACAAUGCUCCUAUUCUUGGUAUAUUGGCACGCCUAAAUGGUGGACAUGGAGGCUACAACCAACUUCUUCCAGUGGUGGUU
RNAcentral lists this unclassified non-coding RNA (272 nucleotides) under Hevea brasiliensis (rubber tree). The record is from RNAcentral. Lineage: Eukaryota; Viridiplantae; Streptophyta; Magnoliopsida; Malpighiales; Euphorbiaceae.